CCGAGUUAUUCUACUCCCAAACCCCUGUGAACUUAUACCUUUACUGUUGCUUCGGCGGGUUAACGCCCCGGAAGGCCCGCGAGGGCCGCCGGAACCAGGCGCCCGCCGGGGGACCCAAACUCUUGCUUUAAACAGUGGCAUACUCUCUGAGUCUCACAAACAAAAAAUGAAUCA
This 174-nucleotide unclassified non-coding RNA is filed under the name uncultured Pochonia. RNAcentral describes it as "sequence contains ITS1". The record is from RNAcentral. Lineage: Eukaryota; Fungi; Ascomycota; Sordariomycetes; Hypocreales; Clavicipitaceae.